AUAAAACAUUUUUUACAUAAGUAAAUAUUUAUUAUUUUAUAUUAUACAACUCAAGUAUGUGUAUACAUACAUUUUUUCUAAAUAGAAACAUGACAAAAAGUAUCUAGUCUAACCUUUCGAAAUCUCUGUAAUUUCCAUAACUGCAGAUCACUUGAAGUUUUGACAAUUAAUAUGUGACAUUACACCAAUUUGUCUUCUACUAUCAUGUCUACCAUCAAAGUUGUUAUAUGUGUGUUAAUAUAUUUAUGUGUAAAUGUUUUCACCCUAGACUGCUAUACCUGUUAUCAUCCAUCGAAUACAAACAAUUCGUGCUACCAUGUGCAUGAUAUAGACCACGAGACAUGCCAAAAUAGCUUACAUAAGUGCGUAAAAUUACGACGUGAAAGGUACAUAACUUCCAGAUCUUGUGGUAUACCUUGCAAAGAUUUCAUCAGGGUAAACCGAAAUUUUAAAUGUUUUGAUUGCGAAAAUGACCUCUGUAAUUCAGUAGGAAAGAGGGGUUUAACCUGGUUUGUGCUACUGGCUCAUACUUUUGUACUCACUAUUCUGAUUAUUUUCUCUGUCAUUUUAUUGCGUUGAGAAUGUAUGUAUUUGAUUGUUUCAUUUUCCAUUACUAUUGUUCCAGAGCUGUAGAUUAUUUUAUUAAAAGAUUUGGAUAUAAAUUUAAGAUAUUAGUGUCAUCCUGUUAAGUUGAUUGAUGCUUUUAAGAUUUUAGGUAUUCUGUAACUUAUGUAUACAACUUUUUGAUGAAUAUCAAUUUUCUUAUGUAUAACUACAGGAAAGUCACAAAAAGAAGUGACGUUCGUAUUAAUAUUUCACACAAAUAUUAUUUAGGAGAAACGCUAAAAUGUUAUACGUGCAACAACAAAGAUUACGUGAAGAAUCCAUGCUCUCUUGAAGAGGCUCCAAGUAACGAGACAUGUCGAAGUCCAAUAUUUAAGUGCAUAAUGCUGUAAGUACCCGUAACAUUUCAAAUAGUACUCAUGUAAAGAAUUUCUGAUGAAGCCCUAGACUGCUACACCUGUUAUCACCCAGUGAAUACGAACAAUACGUGCUACCAUGUGUAUGGCAUAGACUUCGAGACAUGCGAGAAUAGCUCACACAUUUGUGUGAAGCUGAGACGUGAAAGCUACAUAACUUCGAGGUCGUGUCAAAAGCCAUGUAAAGAGUUCAUCAGGAUUAACCGAAAUUUUAAGUGUUAUGAAUGCGAUACUGACCUCUGCAAUUCAGUAGGAACGACAGGUCAUUCUUUGCUUCUACCAUUGACCCUCAAUUUUAUACUCAUAAUUCUGAUUCAAUAAAUAAAACGCGUCUUCUAUA
Molecule: RNA transcript, 1320 nt
Organism: Aethina tumida (small hive beetle)
Lineage: Eukaryota; Metazoa; Arthropoda; Insecta; Coleoptera; Nitidulidae
Exons: 5
Source: RefSeq, a predicted model, not a curated record